UACGUAGGUGGCAAGCGUUGUCCGGAUUUACUGGGCGUAAAGAGCGCGCAGGCGGUCGUUCAAGUCGCGUGUGAAAGCCCCCGGCUCAACUGGGGAGGGUCACGCGAUACUGAUCGACUCGAAGACAGGAGAGGGUAGUGGAAUUCCCGGUGUAGUGGUGAAAUGCGUAGAUAUCGGGAGGAACACCUGUGGCGAAAGCGGCGCACUGGACCACAACUGACGCUGAGGCGCGAAAGCCAGGGGAGCAAACGGGG
Molecule: ribosomal RNA, 254 nt
Filed under: uncultured bacterium
Lineage: Bacteria
Description: partial 16S ribosomal RNA
Rfam family: Bacterial small subunit ribosomal RNA
Source: RNAcentral